AGUGGCGAACGGGUGAGUAACACGUGACCAACCUGCCCCUUGCUCCGGGACAACCUUGGGAAACCGAGGCUAAUACCGGAUACUCCUCGCCCCCCUCCUGGGGGGCCCGGGAAAGCCCAGACGGCAAGGGAUGGGGUCGCGGCCCAUUAGGUAGUAGGCGGGGUAACGGCCCACCUAGCCCGCGAUGGGUAGCCGGGUUGAGAGACCGACCGGCCACAUUGGGACUGAGAUACGGCCCAGACUCCUACGGGAGGCAGCAGUGGGGAAUUUUGCGCAAUGGGGGCAACCCUGACGCAGCAACGCCGCGUGCGGGACGACGGCCUUCGGGUUGUAAACCGCUUUCAGCAGGGAAGAAAUUCGACGGUACCUGCAGAAGAAGCUCCGGCUAACUACGUGCCAGCAGCCGCGGUAAUACGUAGGGAGCGAGCGUUAUCCGGAUUCAUUGGGCGUAAAGAGCGCGUAGGCGGCCUCUCAAGCGGGAUCUCUAAUCCGAGGGCUCAACCCCCGGCCGGAUCCCGAACUGGGAGGCUCGAGUUCGGUAGAGGCAGGCGGAAUUCCCGGUGUAGCGGUGGAAUGCGCAGAUAUCGGGAAGAACACCGAUGGCGAAGGCAGCCUGCUGGGCCGCAACUGACGCUGAGGCGCGAAAGCUAGGGGAGCGAACAGGAUUAGAUACCCUGGUAGUCCUAGCCGUAAACGAUG
RNAcentral lists this ribosomal RNA (699 nucleotides) under Eggerthella lenta. RNAcentral describes it as "bacterial SSU rRNA". It matches the Rfam family "Bacterial small subunit ribosomal RNA", at positions 94 to 811 of the family's 1533-position model. The record is from RNAcentral. Lineage: Bacteria; Bacillati; Actinomycetota; Coriobacteriia; Eggerthellales; Eggerthellaceae.